RNAcentral lists this ribosomal RNA (484 nucleotides) under uncultured organism. RNAcentral describes it as "bacterial SSU rRNA". It matches the Rfam family "Bacterial small subunit ribosomal RNA", at positions 30 to 507 of the family's 1533-position model. The record is from RNAcentral.
AUUGAACGCUGGCGGUAGGCCUAACACAUGCAAGUCGAACGGCAGCACGGACUUCGGUCUGGUGGCGAGUGGCGGACGGGUGAGGAAUACAUAGGAAUCUGCCCAGUCGUGGGGGAUAACGUAGGGAAACUUACGCUAAUACCGCAUACGACGGAGACGUGAAAGCAGGGGAUCUUCGGACCUUGCGCGAUUGGAUGAGCCUAUGUCGGAUUAGCUAGUUGGCGGGGUAAAGGCCCACCAAGGCGACGAUCCGUAGCUGGUCUGAGAGGAUGAUCAGCCACACUGGAACUGAGACACGGUCCAGACUCCUACGGGAGGCAGCAGUGGGGAAUAUUGGACAAUGGGCGCAAGCCUGAUCCAGCCAUACCGCGUGGGUGAAGAAGGCCUUCGGGUUGUAAAGCCCUUUUGUACGGAAAGAAAGCUUCCAGGUUAAUACCCUGGGAGGAUGACGGUACCGUAAGAAUAAGCACCGGCUAACUUCGUG